This 465-nucleotide ribosomal RNA is filed under the name uncultured bacterium. RNAcentral's name for it is "partial 16S ribosomal RNA". It matches the Rfam family "Bacterial small subunit ribosomal RNA", at positions 339 to 795 of the family's 1533-position model. The record is from RNAcentral.
CUACGGGGUGCUGCAGUGAGGAAUUUUGCGCAAUGGGGGAAACCCUGACGCAGCAACGCCGCGUGAGUGAAGAAGGCCCUUGGGUCGUAAAGCUCUGUCAAUGGGGAAGAAGUUAUUAUGUGUUAAUAGCACAUUUUAUUGACGGUACCCAUGAAGGAAGCACCGGCUAACUCCGUGCCAGCAGCCGCGGUAAUACGGGGGGUGCAAGCGUUAUUCGGAAUUAUUGGGCGUAAAGGGCAUGCAGGCGGUCCUGUCAGUCAGAUGUGAAAGCCCGGGGCUCAACCCCGGACGUGCAUUUGAAACAGCAGGACUUGAGUACGGGAGAGGAAAGGGGAAUUCCUGGUGUAGAGGUGAAAUUCGUAGAUAUCAGGAGGAACACCGGUGGCGAAGGCGCCUUUCUGGACCGAUACUGACGCUGAGGUGCGAAGGCGUGGGUAGCGAACGGGAUUAGAUACCCCUGUAGUC